AUCCAGCUGGCGACUCCCAAAUAGGACGAAAUGCGCGUCCUGGAU
This is a non-coding RNA of Schistosoma curassoni, 45 nucleotides long. Lineage: Eukaryota; Metazoa; Platyhelminthes; Trematoda; Strigeidida; Schistosomatidae. The record is from Rfam.